AAGCUUUAGUUCUUCAUGUUUCUGAGCUUCCAAUUGCUUUGCCCAAGAUUCCAAAGAACUCUCCUCAAUCUUGGAUUGCUUUGGUGAUCAAAUUACUAACAAAAACACCAAAACUUAACACAAUUUAAUUAGAAACGAUUGCAAGGGUCCUUCUCAUGCCAAUUGAGUUAAAAGGCCAAAACUACUACUCAAAAGUGUUUAAAAAGAUUAAUUACAAGCUAUCAAAUAGCACUUUUUGAGUAGUAAUCACGUAGUGCACAAUUGGCACAAAAUCUCAUCAUCCUCUCUCUAAAUCUUCUCCCUAGCAGCUGUACCAGCAAAUGGCCUAUCGAUAGGUGGAGAAUGUGCUACUCUCUCACUCCGCGUGACUAUUUGAACAUCUUUGUGAGUGGGCCCAUACCCUUCCAAGAACAUAAUAAAGGGUGUCAAAGGCGGCACAUGCUAUAAAUACACUGGUGAGACUACGGGCUGUCGGGGAAUCUCAUCUGGGGUCAACCUGAAUGGCCUGGGGACCUACUGUCCAUGGGUAUAUCCACUAAAAUCUAAGUUCUCGUACAAACUGAUUGGGUUAGGAGCCUCUCCAUCCCAUCCCAUCAUAAAUACAUCACCCUAUGUGUGCCCAAUCAAAUAGAUUCCCCCUAGGAGUGGAGGUACAACUCUAGUGUCAUGAGUAGGUAACGAGUCUGUGGUCACUAUGGGUCAUCCCAAAUUAACCAAACCUUGAUCAAUCAAGUCCAGUAUAGCAUGUCUUAGUGUUGAGCAAUUGUCUAUAUCAUGGCCUGCUCUCUGGUGAUAAGCACAAUGAAGGUCUAUCCUGAAUCCUGGUGGGGUAGGUUGUAGUGGUGGCCUGGGCGGUAACGGGGCAAUCAAUCCCCCCUCAACCAAUCUCUGAAAUGCUAUGCUCAAUGACAUCCUAAGCUGUGUGAACUGUCUAGCUGGCCUCGGCGGAGAUGGUGCUCUAUACUGAUGGAACUACAUGGGUGGCCUCUAGGAUGCCUGUGUAGCAUAUACUGGUUGUGGCGACGGAUGUAGAUAAGCAAGCCCUGCUGGCCUAAUGUGAAUAGCUGGCCUGUACUGAUCAUGUUGUAUCAUCUGAUAAGAGGUAUCUGAAAACUGCCUUUGAGUCGGAGGCCGACGCAGGGGCCUAUGCCCCAUCAUACCAAUGGUUCCAACAUCUGAUGGAUUGGAUCCUGACCCCGACUUCUUCCUCUUUGAGUCUAAGGAGGAAGAAUCUGCCCAUAAUCCUCUAGAUAUACCCUCCUCGAUGCUAUAAAGGGCAUGCACUAAGGAGCCAAAGUCUGUCUACAUAAAACCCAUGAGAUGUCUAGCAUAGCGGGGCUAAAGACUGGGUAUAAUCAUACUGAUCUGAUCACGCUUUGAGGGUCUGUCAAUAAUCUGUGCUAUUUUUUCCCUCUAGCAGGAGAUGAAUGAGGUAAUUGUCUCAUCCGACCUCUGUCUGACAACCUCUAACUCUCUCCGGGAUACAUCAGCUACAAUAUUAAAGGAAUACUGUCUGAGAAACUCCUGUACCAGAUGAUUACUACCAAAAAGUGCUAUUUUGUAGACCUAAUAAUAAUGGUUUUAAGCACCUUUGAGUAGUAAUCAUAUUCAUUUAACCCAAUUAAUUCAUUAAGGUCCUUAGUAAUUGGUUUUAACCAUUUUGUGGCAAGUUUACAUGUUUUUAUCAGCUUAUGAACCAAUUCAAGCAUGCCAAUUGAUGGAGGAGCUAUUUGGGCGAGUUAAGCAAGGAUUUUGGAUGAUUACAGGCUUGAAUUUCAAGUGGAAACACGAG
Molecule: long non-coding RNA, 1792 nt
Filed under: Vitis vinifera (wine grape)
Lineage: Eukaryota; Viridiplantae; Streptophyta; Magnoliopsida; Vitales; Vitaceae
Description: long non-coding RNA (VVIN_LNC007039)
Source: RNAcentral